Molecule: ribosomal RNA, 453 nt
Filed under: gamma proteobacterium SCGC AAA044-E23
Lineage: Bacteria; Pseudomonadati; Pseudomonadota; Gammaproteobacteria
Description: bacterial SSU rRNA
Rfam family: Bacterial small subunit ribosomal RNA
Source: RNAcentral
GUGGGGAAUAUUGGACAAUGGGCGAAAGCCUGAUCCAGCCAUGCCGCGUGUGUGAAGAAGGUCUUCGGAUUGUAAAGCACUUUAAGUUGGGAGGAAGGGCAGUAAAUUAAUACUUUGCUGUUUUGACGUUACCCACAGAAUAAGCACCGGCUAACUCUGUGCCAGCAGCCGCGGUAAUACAGAGGGUGCAAGCGUUAAUCGGAAUUACUGGGCGUAAAGCGCGCGUAGGUGGUUUGUUAAGUUGGAUGUGAAAUCCCCGGGCUCAACCUGGGAACUGCAUUCAAAACUGACGAGCUAGAGUAUGGUAGAGGGUGGUGGAAUUUCCNGUGUAGCGGUGAAAUGCGUAGAUAUCGGAAGGAACACCGGUGGCGAAGGCGACCACCUGGACUAGAUACUGACACUCAGGUGCGAAAGCGUGGGGAGCAAACAGGAUUAGAUACCCCCGUAGUCCGG